This is a long non-coding RNA of Microplitis demolitor, 889 nucleotides long. RefSeq annotates it as uridine diphosphate glucose pyrophosphatase NUDT14. The transcript is spliced from 3 exons. Lineage: Eukaryota; Metazoa; Arthropoda; Insecta; Hymenoptera; Braconidae. The record is from RefSeq and is a predicted model, not a curated record.
UUUAAAAAAAUCUGACAGUGUGAGUACAAAAAGACAAUCAACAACAUUGUCAGACACAUAGUCUUCGAGUAAAGAAUAAAUUUAUUGUAUUAAAUAAAAAAAAAAAAAAAAUUAAACCAUGGCAGAUGAUAAAUCGCAAGAGGAACGUAAUUCUGUGAUACGGAAAAAAAUGUUGGACAUGCAGAACAUAAAAGUAGAACCAAUGCCCGCGGAUUCUCCAUGGUUGAGACCAGCGCGAAUGACCUUCUACCAGAAUGGAUCAAAAAAAGCAUGGGACUUAUCACGAGUUCAUGACAGCGUGGCGAUAAUAGUAUUCAACAUUACACGUAAAAAAUUAGUAUUUGUACGUCAAUUCCGUCCUGCAGCUUAUUUUGCAACACUGCCCGAAAAAUUUCAAGACAUUGACACCAGCAAGUAUCCAUUAGAACAAGGCCUGACCUUGGAACUGUGUGCUGGUAUAGUUGAUAAAGAUUUGCCGCUUAUCGAGAUUGCUAGUAUUGAAUUACGUGAAGAAUGCGGAUAUGAAGCCCCACCAUCAGCUUUUACUCACAUCAUUACUUACCGUGAUAUUGCCAGUACGACUGCUAAGCGAGCUGUAUUUUACGUUGAAGUAACCGACGAAAUGCAUAAACAUCCUGGCGGAGGAGCUGAAUCGGAAGGGGAAUUAAUAGAAGUCGUAGAAAUGACUCCACAGGAAGUUAACAAUUACAUUUCGUCAGGUGAAGUACAGAGUCCAUCAGCUUUUCUUUAUGGUGUUUUAUGGUUUCUAUCAAAUAAGAAAGACCGCUAUAGUUAGGCAAUUUAUUGAGGCAAAGGCUCAUAUUGUUAAAUUAAAGUUUAAAAUUAAUUUUGUCUCAAUUUGAAUAAUAAAAUUAAUUUGUAUAAAUUA